UCUACUUUCCCUGUAGUUUCCUGCCAUUGUCUGACUGCCAGUCUAGGCUUUUCUCCUUCCUGCCACCAAGAAGGAAGAGAAAUCUGAAAGGAGUUGGGGGACUCCUGUCUAAUUAGGGUGCGCCGGGGAAGUUACUUGGCCUCUCUGAGCCCCAAUUUUUCCUUUUUGCCGGGGAUAUCAUCACUGGUUCUGUCUACUCUUAGCACUGUGAGAUUCUGGAGGGGAGAGAGGCAUGUCACCUGAAAAGAGGGGUGAUCACAACUGCUCCACCACCUGGACCCUCCCCUGCCAUGUUCCCCCCGGGUGCCCACUGUUGUUUCAGGUUCAGUUGCCCAGGCAGAGUCCAGUCUCUCCAGGAGACACUCCGGCCAUGGAUCCACCUUACCCUUGACCCCAAGCCAGGACACCUCAGCUGCAAUGAGGAAUUGGAAGCUCAGAGAGAGUAAGGGAUUUAUUUGCCCACGAGCUCCUGAGAAGCAGGAGCAACACCUCCUACCUGCCCCUGCCCCCAGCCUUCAUGCCCACCGCCACCAGGACAAGGCCACUGCAAGUCACCGCCCUGGUGGAAGAACCAGUCUGCGUUCCAAAGACCCAGGCGCCCAUCUGCCUCUGCCACAUCCCGUGACCUUGAGCAAGUUACUUUCCUAUUCUGUAGAACCGAGGUAACAGUCCAGCCAGUCGGGUUAGGGGGCAGCUGUUUUCAUCUUGCUGUUCUGUCAUCUUGUCCUCAUCUGCAGAGGUGAAGCUGCGUCACUGGCAGUCUGCUAGCGAAGAGGCACUCAGAGCAGCUGUCCUGAAGCACGUUCCUUUCAAGCUAAUAAGGUACGUGUUACACUCCUCACUUCUGCUCAGCAUUGGUGGACAAGAACUUAUUCAAGUGGCCAUGCCUCACUGGGAAAAUCAUCUUAGCUGAGCAGCUUGUGACAAGAAGUGUCAAUUUCAGAGAAAUGACUAGCAGUCUGCCACAUUUUUAAUGAGGAAGCUGCUCUCUUGAAUCAUUAUGUUUUCAAAAGGCUACCUGGAAAUAGCAAAGUCCUUUUUUUUCACAGUGUCAAGACGCCAGGUGACCCGAAUUCUACACUUUCCUGGUAAUUCCUAUUUUGAAAUGAAGGCUGUUAACAAUCACCCUGUGCUUUCCUUAAAUAUAUAAAUAUGUUAUUAAUAUAGAAAUAUUAAAAUAUAUUUAGAUUAGAAAUAUACAAUUGACCAGAUGCCAAGGGUUUGUACACUUUGCUGGGAAAAAGUCAAUUGUCUUUGAGAAAUUUCUUUAUAUGAUUUUAGAGGGGGCAGCCUCUAAAAUGAAGUGUUCAAUGAAUGAAUAAAUGAAUGAAUGAAUUUUAGCAGCCUGCAUCUUAGGUGCUGAGAGUUAUCUGAUUAGGGCAUACCGGACUAAAACGUCCCAUACAAACAUUAGGGUUUAUUAAUCUAUAAUAUGCACAGAUAAGCAAUUUUAUAUCAAGCAUAUGAAUAGAAUUUAGAGAAACAAUUUUAUUUGGGAAUAGAACCCUGAAAAAUCAUCAGAGGCUUACUAUUUUUUCACAUGUACUUUCCCUCUCACAUCAGCAUGUCCCCUUGCCCCCUUCCCUGUGACCCCCUCCCAACCCACUACCUUGGAUUUUCUGACUUGACCUGAUGGUUCAAAAUAUUCUAAGACUUUCCCUGGGACACCUGUCUAUUGCCCCUGGGUAUUUGGCCAGGGGGUCUCCAUGGAGCCAAAAAGUUAAUAACUGGUCUAGAAAAUACACAAACAAAUGUCACGGUCCAUGAAUUUCUAAAACGAACAGUGAAGGCUCUGUGACAUUAUGCAAAGGCAAAGGGGUGUGAAGGAGAGUGUUCUGGUACGGAGACCGACGGAUCUAUGUUCAAAUCUCAGUUCUUCCCCUUCCUACCCACAUGUCUAACUUUGGAUAAAGGACUGUGUGUCCUGGGCCUUGGCUUCCUCAUCUGUGAAAUGUGAAUAAUGAUGGAAAUCAUUGUGAGAAUGUGUUUGGCCCUCUGUAGGUGCUGAAUAAAGUAGUUCCCCUCUCCCACUACUGCUUUGUUCUUACAGAACUGAAAGAUCCAUAACUUAAAGAAUCAAAGGGAGGCCAAACAAUAACUAAAGGGUUAGAAAAUAAGAUCCAAGAAUAAUGGAUAAAGGAAUGGUUAAUGUUUAGUCUAGACAGGAUGGUAAAUAACUGGCUGCCCUUUGUAAGUACCUCCUAUGUGCCACACUUAGCUUGGCAUGUAAUGUCCAAUCCUUUGAAGAAGGUAUGAUUACGAUACCCAUCUUAUAAGCAGGGAAACAGAUUUUAUAAUUUGCCCAAAAUCAUACAGCUAAAUGGUGAAGUGGAGAUUCAAACUCAGGUCUGAUUCUUUGCUUUGGCUUAACAACAGUCUCCCUUUCCAGUCCCUGGAAGCAAAACCUGGGGAGAUGGACCUAAAGAGGAGCAGGAGGGAGAGGAGAAGGUUACCGUCAGUCACUGGCAUCGGGGACAGGCAGGCCAGAGAAGACAACUGCAGCACCUCUUUCCCUGGCUGGGACUUGUCAGGAAGGGACUCUCCAGGCCCCAGCUGCCUUAUGCAUGGGCUUGCCCGAAGGCAGGAAGGACUCGAAUUUCCCUAGAGGAAAAUGGGCCUGUGAGACCAGGCUGGGGACUGAGCUCCUAUGGGCCACAGGGGCAGGUCCUGAGAGCACCCUGCCCCUCCUCCUUGAAGGGGGCUCAAUGGAUGGGGCACAGUGGAGUCUAUCCCUCUACUUUUUUCUAUACUUUCUAUUGUUAUUUCAGAGAUUCCUUUUGCCUAAUUCUGACCAUUCCCAAUAAAUAAUUUAUAUAAAACUAAAUAAAAAUGAAUUUUUUUUAGCCUUAAUCUCUAAGCCUCUUAGUUUUCUUACCUACAAAAGCAAGUGUGCUAAUUCCUAUGGUCCUUGGACCUUUCAGCCUCUUCAAGCCACUUCAGUUCUAGUUUUCAUGCAACCUCAGCUCUGGUCUAGAGCAGGCAGAGGUUACUACCUUCCACACUGCUUCUACCUUGAGUAGAACCCAAGGUUUUUGCUUUCUUGCCAUAAAUGAUUAUUCACAUUGCUGAGAAGUAAUGUGUGGUGGUUGGAAGCUGAAUAUACCCCAGAAAAAAACAUGUCCUUAAAUUUAAUCCAUUCCUGUAGGUGUA
Long non-coding RNA from Choloepus didactylus (southern two-toed sloth), 3150 nucleotides. RefSeq lists it as uncharacterized. Lineage: Eukaryota; Metazoa; Chordata; Mammalia; Pilosa; Megalonychidae. The record is from RefSeq and is a predicted model, not a curated record. The transcript has 4 exons.